This 473-nucleotide ribosomal RNA is filed under the name uncultured bacterium. Its description in RNAcentral is "bacterial SSU rRNA". It matches the Rfam family "Bacterial small subunit ribosomal RNA", at positions 328 to 793 of the family's 1533-position model. The record is from RNAcentral.
CUCUGUGACUCCUACGGGAGGCAGCAGUGGGGAAUAUUGCACAAUGGGCGCAAGCCUGAUGCAGCCAUGCCGCGUGUGUGAAGAAGGCCUUCGGGUUGUAAAGCACUUUCAGUUGUGAGGAAGGUGGUGUCGUUAAUAGCGGCAUCAUUUGACGUUAGCAACAGAAGAAGCACCGGCUAACUCCGUGCCAGCAGCCGCGGUAAUACGGAGGGUGCGAGCGUUAAUCGGAAUUACUGGGCGUAAAGCGCAUGCAGGUGGUUUGUUAAGUCAGAUGUGAAAGCCCCGGGGCUCAACCUCGGAACUGCAUUUGAAACUGGCAGACUAGAGUACUGUAGAGGGGGUAGAAUUUCAGGUGUAGCGGUGAAAUGCGUAGAGAUCUGAAGGAAUACCGGUGGCGAAGACGGCCCCCUGGACAGAUACUGACACUCAGAUGCGAAAGCGUGGGGAGCAAACAGGAUUAGAUACCCUGGUAG